This 483-nucleotide ribosomal RNA is filed under the name uncultured bacterium. Its description in RNAcentral is "partial 16S ribosomal RNA". It matches the Rfam family "Bacterial small subunit ribosomal RNA", at positions 28 to 507 of the family's 1533-position model. The record is from RNAcentral.
GACGAACGCUGGCGGCGUGCUUAACACAUGCAAGUCGAACGCUGAAGCUCAGCUUUUGUUGGGUGGAUGAGUGGCGAACGGGUGAGCAACACGUGAGUAACCUGCCUCCUUCUUUGGGAUAACGCCCGGAAACGGGUGCUAAUACUGGAUAUUCACUGGUCUUCGCAUGGGGGUUGGUGGAAAGGGUUUUUCUGGUGGGGGAUGGGCUCGCGGCCUAUCAGCUUGUUGGUGGGGUGAUGGCCUACCAAGGCUUUGACGGGUAGCCGGCCUGAGAGGGUGAACGGUCACAUUGGGACUGAGAUACGGCCCAGACUCCUACGGGAGGCAGCAGUGGGGAAUAUUGCACAAUGGGCGCAAGCCUGAUGCAGCGACGCCGCGUGAGGGAUGGAGGCCUUCGGGUUGUGAACCUCUUUCGCUCAUGGUCAAGCCGCAACAAUGGUUGUGGUGAGGGUAGUGGGUAAAGAAGCGCCGGCUAACUACGUG